GUCUUGGUACUACAUGUACAGGAUAGGUGGGAGGCUUUGAAACCAGGACGCCAGUUUUGGCGGAGCCAUCCUUGGGAUACCACCCUUGUAGUACUGGGACUCUAACCAUAGGCCAUGAAUCUGGUCUGGGGACACUGUCAGGUGGGCAGGUUGACUGGGGCGGUCGCCUCCCAAAAGGUAACGGAGGCGCUCAAAGGUUCUCUCAGUACGGUCGGAAAUCGUACGUAGAGUGUAAAGGCAAAAGAGAGCUUGAUUGCAAGACAGACAGGUCGAGCAAGGAUGAAAAUCGGACUUAGUGAUCCGGUGGUUCUGCGGGGAAGGGCCAUCGCUCAA
Molecule: ribosomal RNA, 333 nt
Filed under: Clostridioides difficile
Lineage: Bacteria; Bacillati; Bacillota; Clostridia; Peptostreptococcales; Peptostreptococcaceae
Description: bacterial LSU rRNA
Rfam family: Bacterial large subunit ribosomal RNA
Source: RNAcentral